GACGAACGCUGGCGGCGUGCUUAACACAUGCAAGUCGAACGGAAAGGCCCUGCUUUUGUGGGGUGCUCGAGUGGCGAACGGGUGAGUAACACGUGAGUAACCUGCCCUGGACUUUGGGAUAACUUCAGGAAACUGGGGCUAAUACCGGAUAGGAGCUCCUGCUGCAUGGUGGGGGUUGGAAAGUUUGGGCGGUUGGGGAUGGACGCGCGGCUUAUCAGCUUGUUGGUGGGGUAGUGGCUUACCAAGGCUUUGACGGGUAGCCGGCCUGAGAGGGUGACCGGCCACAUUGGGACUGAGAUACGGCCCAGACUCCUACGGGAGGCAGCAGUGGGGAAUAUUGCACAGUGGGCGGAAGCCUGAUGCAGCAACGCCGCGUGCGGGAUGACGGCCUUCGGGCUGUAAACCGCUUUCGCCUGUGACGAAGCGUGAGUGACGGUAAUGGGUAAAGAAGCACCGGCUAACUACGUG
RNAcentral lists this ribosomal RNA (468 nucleotides) under uncultured bacterium. RNAcentral describes it as "partial 16S ribosomal RNA". It matches the Rfam family "Bacterial small subunit ribosomal RNA", at positions 28 to 507 of the family's 1533-position model. The record is from RNAcentral.